GUACACGCUGUGACUAGCAUAUCAAUAAGCGGAGGAAAAGAAACUAACAAGGAUUCCCCUAGUAACGGCGAGUGAAGCGGGAAGAGCUCAAAUUUGAAAGUCUUAAAGGGUUUCCCUUUACGAAUUGUAGUUUAAAGAAGUGUUUUCUGUUGAGGUUUUGGUAAAGGUUCUUUGGAAUAGGACAUCAUAGAGGGUGAGAAUCCCGUAUUUGACCUUUACUUUCAACUUUGUGAUACACUUUCAAAGAGUCGGAUUGUUUGGGAAUGCAGUCCAAAAUGGGUGGUAAAUUUCAUCUAAAGCUAAAUAUUGGCGAGAGACCGAUAGCGAACAAGUACCGUGAGGGAAAGAUGAAAAGAACUUUGAAAAGAGAGUUAAACAGUACGUGAAAUUGUCAAAAGGGAAGCGUUUGACACCAGUGUUGUUUUUCUGAAAAUCAAUUAAAGAACUGUUUAUGCUAAGUUGUUUAGACUUUAUCAGCUAACUGUUUAGUUUUGAGCUUUCCUUUAAUGCACUUUUCAGUUAACAAGUCAACAUCAAUUUCUUUUGCUGUAAAAGAGCUUGAGGAAGGUGGCUUGAGAUUCGUCUUAAGUGUUUAUAGCCUCUUGCCUAUGCAGUCGGAGAGAUUGAGGUCUGCAGCGUAGAUCCUUCGGGGAUAAAUGCAUUUGUGCUAAGUUAUAGCAUUUUCAUAGACAACUUGUUGACUAUGAUUUGUCUUGUAGCUUACUCGCUUAUGUUAUUUUACCUACGCUUAGGAUGUUGAGUCGUAGAGCACGCAG
RNAcentral lists this ribosomal RNA (776 nucleotides) under uncultured Neocallimastigales. RNAcentral describes it as "partial large subunit ribosomal RNA". It matches the Rfam family "Eukaryotic large subunit ribosomal RNA", at positions 22 to 628 of the family's 3401-position model. The record is from RNAcentral. Lineage: Eukaryota; Fungi; Neocallimastigomycota; Neocallimastigomycetes; Neocallimastigales.